Molecule: ribosomal RNA, 497 nt
Filed under: uncultured bacterium
Lineage: Bacteria
Description: partial 16S ribosomal RNA
Rfam family: Bacterial small subunit ribosomal RNA
Source: RNAcentral
GAUGAACGCUGGCGGCGUGCCUAAUACAUGCAAGCCGAGCGAACGGACGAGAAGCUUGCUUCUCUGAUGUUAGCGGCGGACGGGUGAGUAACACGUGGAUAACCUACCUAUAAGACUGGGAUAACUUCGGGAAACCGGAGCUAAUACCGGAUAAUAUUUUGAACCGCAUGGUUCAAAAGUGAAAGACGGUCUUGCUGUCACUUAUAGAUGGAUCCGCGCUGCAUUAGCUAGUUGGUAAGGUAACGGCUUACCAAGGCAACGAUGCAUAGCCGACCUGAGAGGGUGAUCGGCCACACUGGAACUGAGACACGGUCCAGACUCCUACGGGAGGCAGCAGUAGGGAAUCUUCCGCAAUGGGCGAAAGCCUGACGGAGCAACGCCGCGUGAGUGAUGAAGGUCUUCGGAUCGUAAAACUCUGUUAUUAGGGAAGAACAUAUGUGUAAGUAACUGUGCACAUCCUGGCGGUACCUAAUCAGAAAGCCACGGCUAACUACGUG